This 1585-nucleotide long non-coding RNA is filed under the name Nicotiana tabacum (common tobacco). RNAcentral describes it as "long non-coding RNA (NTAB_LNC007440)". Lineage: Eukaryota; Viridiplantae; Streptophyta; Magnoliopsida; Solanales; Solanaceae. The record is from RNAcentral.
UUGUCAUGUUACUCUUUUGUACCCUUAGAGGCUCCAUAGACGUUUAUGUGGGUCAUGUACGUAUGUUGGGGUGUCGUUGGAUCGAGUUGUAUUUUGGGAACUUAACUACGACAUAAUGUAUAUAAUGAAAAAUGAACUAGCAACGUUUAUAUAUGUAUAUAACUGACCUCUCCCCUAUUUUAUAAAUAGUGAAGCGUUCCCUUUUUGGAUCAUGAAUGAGCCGGGUAGGAAAGGUUUGCUAGGCUUGCUCGACCGGGUUCACUCGGUUGAGCGCCGGUCGCGCUCCUCGAGAUUGGGGCGUGACACUUUCUCAACAAAAGAAAAAGUAUGGUCAGAUUGUUCAUACUUCUGUUCACGACCAAGGCAAGAGCUGCACAUAAAUAGUUUUAUAGUGAGUAGUACUACAUGUUAUUAGUGCAACUAUGUCUCUGAUAAAUAUUAUAGAAGGUUCUUAUUUCAUAAACAACUAUUGAUGAUAAAGUAUUCUUUCUCUACAAAAGAAAAAGUAUGGUCAGAUUGUUCAUAUUUAUGUUUAUGACCAAGGCAAGAACCACACAUAAACAUGAAAAAUUAAUUGGUUUGCCAGAACAAAGUUGGGUAGUCAGAUGAAUAAGCUAAUAAAGAGACUGGUCGAUAUAGGAAAUAAUACUACAUACAUGUAUCUGCGAUAUGUUGAAAUAUAGACAAUAAUACUACCUACAAUGUAAGUGCUACACAAGAAGGAAAGGAGAAAAAACAUCAUUCAGUGUGUUUGAGUAAUGCUAAGUGCAUAGGCAUUGGUAUUAGAUAUGUUUCAUUUAGAGAAGUUCACUUAGAAAACACAUAUUAUAUUAAAAGAAAACACCUACAAAGAAGAUUAGGAAGAAAAGACUCUACAAUCCAUGACACACUGCAAUUAUAGAGUACCUGGCGUUGAAAAGGUAUACAACAUCCUAUAAAGAACAGGACUGAGUCCCUUUUUUUAAUACAAAAAAAAAAACAUCAAGCUCACCAUGCAUAGUGCCUUCUAGAUGAAAGUAUCACAAAAUCAUCAAAGACAGAUUAAUGUUCUCCAUAUGAAUAUCCUAAAAUGUUGGUCCAUUACCUUAAUCUUAAGCAUCAUAAUUUAACACUACAAGCAUCCCAACUUUCACUUCUUUCAUUUCAUUUAAAUAUGCAACCAACUUGGCUUUGUCUUGACGAUGAACUAAAGAAAGAGUGGCCAAAGACAUGACCUUUGCUUUUCUUAACAUUUCUUCUUAGAAUUUCCUGUUGUGUAAGAGGAGACUGUUGAAUAUACUAUGUACCUAAACUUCUAUAGGACCAUCAUAAUCUAACAACAGAAUUUUGGAAAGAUUUCACAUUUGCACACCAUCAGAAUUACUAAACGGCAACACUGUAAAAAUAAAUUAUUGUACCCUUUUUGCUUUCAAGUACAAAGAAUUAUUUUAAAGGUUCAUCCCGGCUUUGAAAGAGUAUCUUUAUGUCACUUACCUCUCUCCGAUACUCCUAUUUUAUACUUCCUCUUUUUCAAUUUUGUUACGUUUAUGUGAACAAAUGACCAUAUGCUGGGUUUGGUCUCUUCUUUGGAGCUUUCUCUUGUUCC